AUGAGGACAGGAAUGAAAUGAACGCCAGGACCGAACUCGCUCCGGAGGGGUGGGGCCUCGGUGACGUCAUGCGGCCUGCCGCCCGGGGCCGGGGGCGGGGCCUGCCGCCGCCGGUGACGUCAUGGGGAUUCGGGGCGGGCCCGGCUCCGCCGCCUAGCCGUUGGGGCGCGGGCUCCCCCCGGAGGAGCGGCGGGGCGGAGUCUCGCGCCCACGGGGGAGCCGGGCGCGCGCGGGAGCCGCCCUGCCCCCUCCGGGAGCGGGCUCCGGGCUUUGUCCCGAGCUGGGCGGGGCGGACUGGGGAGGGCGCCUUGGCUGUGCCAGCGCUGCGCGGAAAACUGUGGAAACCUAGGUUCCCUCCGUGGGGCGGGCGAUGAGGUCCGAGCUGCGCUCGAAGCUCCUGCAGUGCCUCAGUUUCCCUCCUCCGGGACGCGGAAGGUUGGGCUGCUGCCUACAGCGCUCCUGGUCUCGCGGAAGUCUGCAAGGGUGGGGAAGAGAAGUUUCUCUUCUGGAAAUUUACGUUGUUCUCUAGCACGGUGGACGCCUUCCCGGGGCCGGAUUCCCAGCCUGCAAUUGCUUUCCCUCUUUUUCACUUUAUAAAAGUUCAGGGCUCUCGCUCAAGUCGAAGUCAGCCCUACUGUUGAGAAGGGAAACCUUUAGCAUAGCGGGGGGGAAAAGAUAAUUGCUGGGUUUGUAAUAAUCCUGCCCCGCUAACACGGUCUCCUCCAAGUCGCUCAAGAAAUCAAGUUCACUAAUCCCUGCGAAUUGUGCUUUUCGAAAGCAAUGAGUCAGGAGUAUAAAUUUGUACAACUUUGUUGGAGAAGUUUGGUAUCAGCUAUUAGAGUUGAAGUUAUACAUACUCUACGAGCCAGAAGUUCCCCUUAGGAAUACAGCCAAGAGAAACUCAGAACUGAGGCCUACUGCCAACAACCAUGUAAGUAAGCCAUCUUCAAAGCAGAUUAUCUGGUCUCCAUCAAACCUCCAGAUGACUGCAGCCUCAGCUGAUAGCUUGACUUCAACUUCAUGAGAAACCCUGAGAACCAUCUGAGCAACUCUCAAAUCCAUACUAUGAGCAGGCAGUUUGAAGAGUGGUCCUCGAUGUGGCUGCAAACAUGUCUAUUUCCUUCUUCCCAACCAACCAAUGGAGUGAGGGACUCUCCCCAUGCAGACUGAAGAGGUGUGAACUGAAGUCUGGCACUUGCCAUCAGCCUCUGCAUGGAGUAAAACAUGAGCCACUGAAGCUGCAGACCCGCAGCACUGCCUGAGUGGAGCUCAGCGUGGAGACCAGGCGUGAGGCUCUCUGUGCUCUGGGAAAACUGGAAGAACAGGCCUUCAGAUAGUUAGAUAUUUUUUUGGAGAAGCUUUUAUGAGCCCAAUUCUUGCAUCUCCUCAUAUCUAGAAAAACACUAAAAUCCUUCAAUGAUGACUGAUGUCUGUGACUAGUAUAUCUAGGAAAACACUACGCAUAUCUAGAAAAACACUAAAAUCCUUCAAUGAUGACUUCUAUAAAAUAUAUGCAUGGCUGCAUGCACUCCCCCUUCACCUUUAUGACUUAUAUAUUGAUACAGCCCUCUUUCCUCUUUAGGGUGGUAUUUCAGACCUAUCUGAAAUACUGCCUCAUGGGCUGUAGUUAGAGGACGAAACGAAAGAUAUCAUGGUCAUCUGCAACCACAACCACUCCCAAGGACGGGCCACUGAGCCCUGAGGGAACUCAGGGAAGAAACGAAGAAGACUGGCCCACAGUUGAGGUGCACAUCAAAGGAGCAACUCCAGGAAGCCCACACUUUGACAUCUUCCCAUAGAAACUGGUUUUCUGUCAAUCUGGUUAUCUGUAAAUCUUUUGUUCCUACUACCUUCCCUUUGUUGCAAAACUCACAUGGCACCCCCCACCUCACCUGCUCAGAGUGGUUUCUCAGGGCUACCUGAGAUGCUGUCUCUUGGGCUUAAGUCCUAAUGUCACCCCAAAUAAAACUUAACUCUCAAAUUUCAGGUUGUAUUUUUUUAGUUGACACAAGUGAUAUUGGUAUAUAUUCCCAAUGGCUUGUGGGUUUUCUUGUUUUGUCUUUUUGGGGCUGCACUAGUGGUAUAUGGAAGUUCCCAGUCUAGGGGUUGAAUC
Sus scrofa (pig) is the source of this 2113-nucleotide long non-coding RNA. RefSeq lists it as uncharacterized. The record is from RefSeq and is a predicted model, not a curated record. NCBI's taxonomy places the organism in Eukaryota, Metazoa, Chordata, Mammalia, Artiodactyla, Suidae.